UACGGAGGGUGCAAGCGUUAAUCGGAAUUACUGGGCGUAAAGCGUGCGCAGGCGGUUUGUCAAGUCCGCUGUGAAAUCCCCGAGCUCAACUUGGGAAUUGCAGUGGAUACUGGCAAGCUGGAGUAUGGUAGAGGAAGGUGGAAUUCCCGGUGUAGCAGUGAAAUGCGUAGAGAUCGGGAGGAACACCAGUGGCGAAGGCGGCCUUCUGGACCAAUACUGACGCUCAUGCACGAAAGCGUGGGGAGCAAACAGG
RNAcentral lists this ribosomal RNA (253 nucleotides) under uncultured bacterium. RNAcentral's name for it is "partial 16S ribosomal RNA". It matches the Rfam family "Bacterial small subunit ribosomal RNA", at positions 524 to 776 of the family's 1533-position model. The record is from RNAcentral.